This 120-nucleotide ribosomal RNA is filed under the name uncultured eukaryote. RNAcentral describes it as "partial 18S small subunit ribosomal RNA". It matches the Rfam family "Eukaryotic small subunit ribosomal RNA", at positions 1410 to 1532 of the family's 1831-position model. The record is from RNAcentral.
CUUAAAAGGACUAUCUAUGUCAAGUACAUGGAAGUUUGAGGCAAUAACAGGUCUGUGAUGCCCUUAGACGUUCUGGGCCGCACGCGCGCUACACUGACGGAGCCAGCGAGUCUACCUUGG